CUCGAGGCCAGAUCUUUCCGGUUGAUCCCGCCGGACCUGACUGCUAUCGGAUUGAUACUAAGCCAUGCGAGUCAUUGUAGUAAUACAAGGCAGACGGCUCAGUAACGCGUAGUCAAUCUACCCUGUGGACGGGAAUAACCUCGGGAAACUGAGAAUAAUGCCCGAUAGAACACUAUGCCUGGAAUGGUUUGUGUUUGAAAUAAUUUAUUGCCAUAGGAUGGGACUGCGGCCUAUCAGUUUGUUGGUGAGGUAAUGGCCCACCAAGACUAUUACAGGUACGGGCUCUGAGAGGAGUAGCCCGGAGAUGGGUACUGAGACACGGACCCAGGCCCUAUGGGGCGCAGCAGGCGAGAAAACUUUGCAAUGUGCGAAAGCACGACAAGGUUAAUCCGAGUGGUUUCUGCUAAAGGAACCUUUUGUCGGUCCUAGAAACACCGAUGAAUAAGGGGUGGGCAAGUUCUGGUGGCAGCCGCCGCGGUAAAACCAGCACCUCAAGUGGUCAGGAUGAUUAUUGGGCCUAAAGCAUCCGUAGCUUGCUUUGUUAGUUUUCGGUUAAA
This 557-nucleotide ribosomal RNA is filed under the name uncultured archaeon. RNAcentral's name for it is "bacterial SSU rRNA". It matches the Rfam family "Archaeal small subunit ribosomal RNA", at positions 1 to 549 of the family's 1478-position model. The record is from RNAcentral.